RNAcentral lists this ribosomal RNA (1054 nucleotides) under Plasmodium chabaudi adami. Its description in RNAcentral is "SSU rRNA". It matches the Rfam family "Eukaryotic small subunit ribosomal RNA", at positions 131 to 1125 of the family's 1831-position model. The record is from RNAcentral. Lineage: Eukaryota; Apicomplexa; Aconoidasida; Haemosporida; Plasmodiidae.
UUUUAUAUAAGGAUAACUACAGAAAAUCUGUAGCUAAUACUUGUAAAAGUACAUUGCUCCUCGGAGUAAAUCAGUAUGUAUUUGUUAAGGCAUCCAAGAAAAAAUGAUAUUAAAGGAAUUAUAACAAAGAAGUUACACCACAACAACCGUUAUAGUGUGUAUCAAUCGAGUUUCUGACCUAUCAGCUUUUGAUGUUAGGGUAUUGGCCUAACAUGGCUAUGACGGGUAACGGGGAAUUAGAGUUCGAUUCCGGAGAGGGAGCCUGAGAAAUAGCUACCACAUCUAAGGAAGGCAGCAGGCGCGUAAAUUACCCAAUUCUAAAUAAGAGAGGUAGUGACAAGAAAUAACAAUAUAAGGCCAAAUUUUGGUUUUAUAAUUGGAAUGAUGGGAAUUUAAAACCUUCCCAAAAAUCAAUUGGAGGGCAAGUCUGGUGCCAGCAGCCGCGGUAAUUCCAGCUCCAAUAGCGUAUAUUAAAAUUGUUGCAGUUAAAACGCUCGUAGUUGAACUUCAAGGGUAUCAUUAUUUUAAGCAACUCACUUGGCGAGAUCUUGGCUCUGCCUCGCUAUCUCUAUGCCUCGUUGCAGUUCUUUUAAUUACCGGCCCUUUGAGAGCCCUUUGAGCAAUCACUGGGUUUCUCGUUACUUUGAGUAAAUUAGAGUGUUCAAAGCAAACAUUUAAAGCGUUUUCGCGUUUGAAUACUAUAGCAUGGAAUAACAAAAUUGAACAAGUCAAAUUUGUUCUUUUUUCUUAUUUUGGCUUAGUUACGAUUAAUAGGAGUAGCUUGGGGGCAUUUGUAUUCAGAUGUCAGAGGUGAAAUUCUUAGAUUUUCUGGAGACAAACAACUGCGAAAGCAUUUGCCUAAAAUACUUCCAUUAAUCAAGAACGAAAGUUAAGGGAGUGAAGACGAUCAGAUACCGUCGUAAUCUUAACCAUAAACUAUGCCGACUAGGUUUUGGAUGAAAAUUUUUAAAUAAGGUUUCCCUCCGGGGAUUCCUUAGAUUGCUUCCUUCAGUACCUUAUGAGAAAUCAAAGUCUUUGGGUUCUGGGGCGAGUA